RNAcentral lists this long non-coding RNA (443 nucleotides) under Mustela putorius furo (domestic ferret). Its description in RNAcentral is "lncRNA (ENSMPUG00000027628.1)". The record is from RNAcentral. Lineage: Eukaryota; Metazoa; Chordata; Mammalia; Carnivora; Mustelidae.
UCUGUGGGCUUUGUGUACUCAUGUUCUCUCUCUUUUCCUUUGUAGGCAAUUUAUAGCAUUGAUCUACAGUGAUCUGUACUGAUCUAAAGCGCUGAUCUACACUGAUCUAGACUGAUCUCGCUGACUUCAAUGUGAAGGUACACAGUUGGAAGAGCUGUCCCGUGAGCAGCUGAGGCGAGGAGAAGCCAGAGGUAGAAUUGGGAAGGACUUGAAUGAGUGGAGACUGAGGAACCACAUAAAGAUCAGAGAAGUAAAAUAAUGUAUGCUUCCAAGGCCACAUUUAUGAUGGACCCUGAAUUUGAAUCCAGAUAGGAUGCUAUGCUGCCUGUGCCUGCAAGGAACCGUUAAGGUUGUCAUGGAGACCUGACUCUGUAAUAGAGAGUUGCUGCAAGAGGAGGAAAAAUGCAGGAGGGUCUGGUGCAUAGGUUUCAAGUAGACAUCUG